RNAcentral lists this ribosomal RNA (301 nucleotides) under uncultured bacterium. RNAcentral describes it as "partial 16S ribosomal RNA". It matches the Rfam family "Bacterial small subunit ribosomal RNA", at positions 509 to 807 of the family's 1533-position model. The record is from RNAcentral.
CAGUAGCCGCGGGAAUACGUAGGUGGCAAGCGUUGUCCGGAAUUAUUGGGCGUAAAGGGCUCGCAGGCGGUUUCUUAAGUCUGAUGUGAAAGCCCCCGGCUCAACCGGGGAGGGUCAUUGGAAACUGGGAAACUUGAGUGCAGAAGAGGAGAGUGGAAUUCCACGUGUAGCGGUGAAAUGCGUAGAGAUGUGGAGGAACACUAGUGGCGAAGGCGACUCUCUGGUCUGUAACUGACGCUGAGGAGCGAAAGCGUGGGGAGCGAACAGGAUUAGAUACCCGGGUAGUCCCUGUCUCUUAUAC